GAGAGCGACACGCAUGUCCAUAGGGAAGCAGAGAGAGACACGCAUGUGCAGUAAGGAAGCAGAGAGUGACACGCAUGUCCAUAGGGAAGCAGAGAGUGACACGCAUGUCCAUAGGGAAGCAGAGAGUGACACGCAUGUCCAGUAGGGAAGCAGAGAGUGACACGCAUGUGCAGUAGGGAAGCAGAGAGUGACACGCAUGUCCAUAGGGAAUCAGAGAGUGACACGCAUCUCCAGUAGGGAAGCAGAAAGUGACACGCAUGUGCAUAGGGAAGCAGAGUGACACGCAUGGCCAUAGGGAAGCAGUGACACGCAUGUCCACAGGGAAGCAGAGAUCUACACGCAUGUCCACAGGGAAGCAGAGAGCGACCCGCAUGUCCAGAGGGAAGCAGAGAGCGACACGCAUGUGCAGUAGGGAAGCAGAGUGAUGAGUCAUUGCUCCACACAUGGUAAACCCAUGUCUACUCCCUCUGUUCUCUCUCUGCUUUUGUUUUCUUUACUUUUUUUUUUUUUUUUGCUUUUUAGGGCCACACUUGAGGUAUAUGGAGGUUCCCAGGCUAGGGGUCUAAUCGGAGCUACAGCUGUUGGCCUGCACCACAGCCACAGCAACGUGGGCUCCUUAACCCACUGAGCGAGGACAGGGAUCGAACGCAGGACCUCAUGGUUACUUGUCAGAUUCAUUUCCACUGCACCCCCAACUCCUGUUUUCGGUCUUGAUGUUUGAAUUUCUCCUGUGGCGAACAAGAUGUUGUCCCAAGACAGUUUUAAGAGUCACCUGGUGCUUAAACCAGAGAAGUGAUACUCCCGAGGAAUUGCUUUUUUUUUUCCUGGACAGUGGCAAGAAGGUAACCUUUAAACAGUAAAUGUUUCCCCCUCCAAUGAAUGUGUGACCUGGGUUUGCUCUAGGUCUUUGGAGAAAAGUCAGACUGCCCUAGAGAAACACUUAUGAAAUUAGCUGUCACCCUAAGAUUGGACACCUUCUCCCUGCCCGUGGCCCCAGGCAGGGGACAGAGAAGGGAUCCCUCCUAGGAGACCUUCUCCUGGUCAGGAAGUGAGGCCGGCGCUCCGGGAUGGGGGCGGGGGGGUGACUCAGUGAGGAGGCAGCGGGUGUGGUUCCUUCCAGACAUGCUCCAGCUGCUCCAAGAGCCGGAAAGACAUGGUCACUUCUUCUUUGUGGGUUUUGCCCGAAUUUGCAAUGUCCCAUUUUUGAGAUAAAACUGGAAUCCUGUUUUUAUCCUGUGCUCUCUGAAGAAUUUCUGUCUCGGGACAUGGUUAGAUCAAUGAAGUUACAUAGUUUUAAGGUUAUUUGUUGCCUUUGCAUCAAGGUAUGUGGUCAGUUGUAGACAGACCUCCGUGGAGUUGAGAGAUUAGGACUCGCUGGACUGAAAGAGCAUGAUCAUUCCAAAGACGCUUGUUUGAAAGUUUGGGUUUUUUUUUCCCCGUUUGUUUUUUGUUUGGGCUUGUUCUCCCCCCGCCCUGUUGAUUUCUAAGCAAGUUUCAGCAUCCUCCGCAAGCUGCCCGCAUCCUUCCGGAAGCAUUCUCACUUUGGACUUGACCUCUGACAUUGCAGGAAACAUGAAUCUCAGAGUGCAUCGCUCAUUCCCAACAUUUCCAAACUAAAAUUGCUUCUUCUCCCAGUUGGCUCGGGGAGUGCCCUGCCUCCCCAAGCCCGGCUCAGACGGUGGGUCUCCAUGCAUGAAUACCUGAAAAAGCCACAUUCUCAUUGGUGCCCGUGGGCCCCGACUGUGGGGAUGACAUAAAAAAUUUUGGCUCCGAAGCACUUUAGCAAAAAAAGAAACAGGCUAGAACAAUGGGCUGAAAAUGAUCUUGGCCUUUCAAGUGCUUUAUCCAACGUUCCAGUGUGAGAACCUGAUCUCCCAGAAAGUACUUCUUUUAUUGCCAACCACAGAGAAUCACUGACAGAACUAAUUAAAGAAUUUGAACCUCGUUCUGUCCUUCGUUAGCUGACCCUCAACCAGGGGCUGGACUCGAAACAAAGACGCUCUGAGCCAACCAGAUAUAGAAUGUGAGCCUCUCGCGGCGGAAGAGGGCUGUGCUCUCAUCCCCCUCUUGGAAAGAGCUACUUGAGCGCAGGAUACUUCUCCCUCUCUUUUUUCUUUUUCUUUUUUUUUACAAUGGAAAACGCGUUGGGUUGCCAUCAGAAAUAAUGAAGUUUGAAGUUCCUGAAAGUUAUUCACUUAUUGGACUCGACUUUCCACCCUUUUCUUGAAUUCCAGGAGCCAGGUCAAGACAGUGAGUUCUCAUGGAAAAUUAAGUGCUUUUGCAAAGGUGCUUAAAGAAAAAUGCUUGUUUCAGGUUUCAGACUCUCAAGGGGAUGAUGGUCAUUGAUUCCAGGCUUGAGACAACGAUAAAGACUUCCAGAUAUGAAUGGACUUCGGUGGAGUCUGGCCGGUUUACCCGAAAAUCUGCCCCUCCCCCGAGUCUGGUCCUAUCCUGGAUAUUCACCCUUCUUGUUCUUUUCCUCCCUACAUUUUAAGAUCGCACAACUUGGCAGUCGUCGUCACGGUCACAUGGAAUGACAUUUAUUGACUGAGUAUCUUGGCUGAUUGAAGAAUGACUAUUUUAAGAUUGUGGCAUGACUUCUUAGAGUUACAUAAUUAUCCACUGACGUGAAGGACCCACCAGGACAUACAUCUUUAUUAGUUUUUUGGUCAGCUGGCAUACAGUGGAAGAAGAGGAGCCUCAGGGAAGCUCCUGGGGAAAACUAUUAUUUUAUUCAUCUGGAAAAAUAUCAGGCUUAGAGAUUCAUAAUUUAUUUUUAUUUUUAUUUUUUUGUCUUUUUGCCUUUUCUUGAGCCGCUCCCGCGGCAUAUUAAGGUUCACAGGUAGGGGUCGAAUCAGAGCUGUAGUCGCCAGCCUACACCACAGCACCGUGGGAUCCGAGCCAUGUCUGCAACCUACACCACAGCUCAAUCAACGCCGGAUCCUUUACCCACUGAGCAAGGCCAGGGAUCGAACCUGCAACCUCAUGGUUCCCAGUUGGAUUCGUUAACCACUGCGCCAGGACGGGAACUCCUCAUAAUUUAUUUUUAAAAUUAGAAAGCAGGAACACAAAUACUAUUUCAUUUUCAAAUGUUUGUUUUUUGUUUUAACCCUGGUAACAAUAAGGGGGGAGAUUUGGGCACAAAAAUCUUCACAUAAAAAUAAAGGGCGGAUCUCCUGUCUGGAGUAGUCCCACCCAACUUGCCCUCACCCUGCACAUCCGGCCGCCCCAUCCGGUUUCAUCAAUGGAGACUGAAAAGGUGUUUCUAAAAGCAUCUGACAUCAAGUCAAGGUCCCCUUAAUCCAGAAUAAGCUAGAACCCACAAGAGCGACUAACUGCAAACAAAGGUCAACUGCAGCCUGUGCUCAGAAUGGGGCUCCUGAGCUCGCUCCUCUAGGGAGCCCGGCCCGAGAGCUCGGCUCCUGCUGUGUGCGCGCCUCAAGAGGUCGCCCAGGAAGCAGAUGCAGGCUUUGGCAUGUCCGCUAAUCCCUCACUCUGGAGACCUAGGCUUCCACGCCAGACAGAUUCUCUUGCAAAUGGCCACAUACUUGACUUUGAACUUUUAGUGAGAGGUUGAAUGUGGGGUGGCCCAUGAGUGAAACUCAACUAUGCAAUCCCAGAAGUAGGCAAAAAGUACGGGGAAGAAAAGGGAAAUUAACAUUCUCGGAUUAUUUGACCAGGAGAGCACAAAAAUUGCUUCUGUGACAAUGGGAUCUUGAAGGCAUUGCAAUGGAGCCCAAGGAGAAUGAAAGAGCCGCAUGUACUUUGUGAGAUCUCUCUGUUCAGUUGUGCUGUGUAGAAUCCACUAUUUUCUCCUCCCUUAAGAAAAUCUUGGGUGUGUUCCAUAACUUCCUGGUCACAUUUGGUAAUUAAAACUUAGUGUGGCUU
Molecule: long non-coding RNA, 3888 nt
Filed under: Sus scrofa (pig)
Lineage: Eukaryota; Metazoa; Chordata; Mammalia; Artiodactyla; Suidae
Description: lncRNA (ENSSSCG00055004271.1)
Source: RNAcentral